RNAcentral lists this ribosomal RNA (113 nucleotides) under Segatella copri. The record is from RNAcentral. Lineage: Bacteria; Pseudomonadati; Bacteroidota; Bacteroidia; Bacteroidales; Prevotellaceae.
UCAGGUGGUUAUUGCGGUGAGGUCCCACCUCUUCCCAUUCCGAACAGAGAAGUUAAGCUCACUUGCGCCGAUGGUACUGCAAUGUAAUGCGGGAGAGUAGGUAGCCGCCUCCU